This is a long non-coding RNA of Aedes aegypti (yellow fever mosquito), 490 nucleotides long. RefSeq lists it as uncharacterized. Lineage: Eukaryota; Metazoa; Arthropoda; Insecta; Diptera; Culicidae. The record is from RefSeq and is a predicted model, not a curated record. The transcript has 2 exons.
CGAAGGGCUGUCUUAUUAGCUCAACUACCAAACUAGACACUUGUUGUUUAUUUAUAAAUAAGUAGAAAGUUACAGUGAGCUAGAACACGGUGGUUUGCGAAUACCCUUUAAAGGGUAAAAAAUACCCAUUUUCAAAUAGCAAUCAUUUCUGUCAUAAAAUGGGGAAUUUCACAAUCAUGAAAAGGGUAAAAAUAUACUCUUUUUUUGAACUUGCACACAGUGCAAAAACGGGUAAAUUUUUACUCAUUAAUGGGUGAAAAAUUAGUUGAAAUCGAAAAAUCAAUCCUGCGCGACCACCAUCAGUUGUCGGAAGAGCCGCUUGUUGAUCCGUUGAAAUUAUUGUUAAAAUUAUCAUCUUCCAGGACGCCAAGUACCCGCAAAUCUACGACCGAAAAAAAUGACGAACUUGAAAAAAAGCAGGACGCAGCAUUCACAAUAAUAAAUGUGUAACCAAAGGUAGAUUAUAAUAAAAACGGAAUAAAUUAAUGUU